Molecule: long non-coding RNA, 1443 nt
Organism: Pyrus x bretschneideri (Chinese white pear)
Lineage: Eukaryota; Viridiplantae; Streptophyta; Magnoliopsida; Rosales; Rosaceae
Exons: 3
Source: RefSeq, a predicted model, not a curated record
GACGUAUUUAAAAUUACACACUUUGCGCAAUCACAUUCUCUAAAAUUUAACAAGAAAAGUCAAUCAGCAAUGCAAUUAUGGAUCUGGGAUUUAGUGUAAACUAUUAUUAUAUUGCUUACUUACAUGUGAUUAGUGUUUUGAUUAGGGUUUUGAUGUGUUAAUAGGAGGAGGGGUUGCAGAAAUUCCAAGCAGAAGUGGAGGAGGAGGAAGAGAAGGAACAUUGCAGUCCGGUUUCUCUAUUGGACCCUCCGUUCCAAGACGAUGAUGAGGGACAUGACGAUGAAGACGGUUUUGAUUUGGAGUGCAGCUAUGCCAAUGUGCUGAGCAUGAACAAAGCACCACCUUCUGCUGAAGCGUCGUAGAUUUGAGCAAUUGGCGGGGUUAGAUCCAAUUGAACUCGAAAAAAGAAUGCUAGAAGAAGAAGAUGGUAAUGAUGAUGAAUGUGAGAAUGACGAGUCAGAAACAUCGGAUAGCAGCAGAGAAGAAACUCUUGAAGGGCUUCUCAGAGAAGUACUUUCCAAAUUAAACUUCCCUUGUAACAAAAGUAUCCCCGAAGAAAUGCAGAUAUUGUUCAUGGAUCUCAUUGUCGAGGAACAGAGAGAAGUGGAUGAUGCUUUUGACAGCAGAGAAGACGUGGUGGGAAGGGCCUGAAAGAGAUUUGAAUGUUGGAAAGAGGUGGACUCGAACACCAUUGACAUGAUGGUGGAACAAGAUUUCCGAAAGGAGCUCGACGGGUGGAAGAAAAGUCAAGAUCAAAUGGGAGAAACUGCAAUGGAGAUUGAGCUUGCAAUCUUUGGCCCACUGGCGCAGGAAUGGCAAUGGAACUAGUUUGAUUAACUCGAAAAUUAAUCGACCGGGAAAGGUUCGAUGUUAAGGGGACCAUUCCAAAGUGUUUUGGCAUAACUUCUAAUUAUUUUUUUUUCUAAAUCAAAAUAUGAUCACUUGGAGUAUAGUCUGACAUGCACUGUGAAGCAGGAAAUAGGCUUGAAAUAGUAACAUGCCUGAGGGUUACCUGCACUCCUCACAUUUGUUAUGGCUUUUGAAAUGAGCAAAUCGGUUGAGAUUCAAUGUGCAUAAACAACGAGAGUAGUGCAGAAGAAGAAAAAUGCGUGAAAAUCAUUAUCUUUUUUGCGCAGAAACAACGAUUGGGCUGAGGGUUUGCUGUCCCCAAUUCUAUGGAGAUCACGAUCUAGUGCAAGAUCUAAAGUGCGAGAUCUAAAGAGAGAAUAGGGUGAGGAGUUACUGAUAGAGAAUGAAAAGGAAGCAUAGCCGACAGAAAAGUAACAGUGGCAAUAGGGUGGUGUGGUUGCCGGAAUUUUACUUCACUGUUGAUUUUUGUAAAUCUUUUAUUUAUAGUGUUUUAAUUAAUUUUGUGAAAAAUUAAUUGUGUUAGUUGUGAAGUGAAGUUGAAGAACUCAUGUCAAAAAAUUAUAAAAGAGAUGC